Molecule: ribosomal RNA, 440 nt
Filed under: Microbacterium sp. R-45676
Lineage: Bacteria; Bacillati; Actinomycetota; Actinomycetes; Micrococcales; Microbacteriaceae
Description: bacterial SSU rRNA
Rfam family: Bacterial small subunit ribosomal RNA
Source: RNAcentral
GGCUCAGGAUGAACGCUGGCGGCGUGCUUAACACAUGCAAGUCGAACGGUGAAGCCCCGCUUGCGGGGUGGAUCAGUGGCGAACGGGUGAGUAACACGUGAGCAACCUGCCCCUGACUCUGGGAUAAGCGCUGGAAACGGCGUCUAAUACUGGAUACGAACCGCAGCCGCAUGGCUCGUGGUUGGAAAGAUUUUUUGGUUGGGGAUGGGCUCGCGGCCUAUCAGCUUGUUGGUGAGGUAAUGGCUCACCAAGGCGUCGACGGGUAGCCGGCCUGAGAGGGUGACCGGCCACACUGGGACUGAGACACGGCCCAGACUCCUACGGGAGGCAGCAGUGGGGAAUAUUGCACAAUGGGCGAAAGCCUGAUGCAGCAACGCCGCGUGAGGGACGACGGCCUUCGGGUUGUAAACCUCUUUUAGCAAGGAAGAAGCGAAAGUGAC